Molecule: small nuclear RNA, 105 nt
Filed under: Choloepus hoffmanni (Hoffmann's two-fingered sloth)
Lineage: Eukaryota; Metazoa; Chordata; Mammalia; Pilosa; Megalonychidae
Source: RNAcentral
GCUUGCUUUGGUCACACAUGUACUAAAAUAGGAAUGAUACCAAGAAGAUUAGCAUGGCCCCUGUGCAAGGAAGACAUGCAAAUUCAUGAAAAUAUCCAUAUUUUU